GAUGAACGCUGGCGGCGUGCCUAAUACAUGCAAGUCGAGCGAACGGACGAGAAGCUUGCUUCUCUGAUGUUAGCGGCGGACGGGUGAGUAACACGUGGAUAACCUACCUAUAAGACUGGGAUAACUUCGGGAAACCGGAGCUAAUACCGGAUAAUAUUUUGAACCGCAUGGUUCAAAAGUGAAAGACGGUCUUGCUGUCACUUAUAGAUGGAUCCGCGCUGCAUUAGCUAGUUGGUAAGGUAACGGCUUACCAAGGCAACGAUGCAUAGCCGACCUGAGAGGGUGAUCGGCCACACUGGAACUGAGACACGGUCCAGACUCCUACGGGAGGCAGCAGUAGGGAAUCUUCCACAAUGGGCGAAAGCCUGACGGAGCAACGCCGCGUGAGUGAUGAAGGUCUUCGGAUCGUAAAACUCUGUUAUUAGGGAAGAACAUAUGUGUAAGUAACUGUGCACAUCUUGACGGUACCUAAUCAGAAAGCCACGGCUAACUACGUGCCAGCAGCCGCGGUAAUACGUAGGUGGCAAGCGUUAUCCGGAAUUAUUGGGCGUAAAGCGCGCGUAGGCGGUUUUUUAAGUCUGAUGUGAAAGCCCACGGCUCAACCGUGGAGGGUCAUUGGAAACUGGAAAACUUGAGUGCAGAAGAGGAAAGUGGAAUUCCAUGUGUAGCGGUGAAAUGCGCAGAGAUAUGGAGGAACACCAGUGGCGAAGGCGACUUUCUGGUCUGUAACUGACGCUGAUGUGCGAAAGCGUGGGGAUCAAACAGGAUUAGAUACCCUGGUAGUCCACGCCGUAAACGAUGAGUGCUAAGUGUUAGGGGGUUUCCGCCCCUUAGUGCUGCAGCUAACGCAUUAAGCACUCCGCCUGGGGAGUACGACCGCAAGGUUGAAACUCAAAGGAAUUGACGGGGACCCGCACAAGCGGUGGAGCAUGUGGUUUAAUUCGAAGCAACGCGAAGAACCUUACCAAAUCUUGACAUCCUUUGACAACUCUAGAGAUAGAGCUUUCCCCUUCGGGGGACAAAGUGACAGGUGGUGCAUGGUUGUCGUCAGCUCGUGUCGUGAGAUGUCGGGUUAAGUCCCGCAACGAGCGCAACCCUUAAGCUUAGUUGCCAUCAUUAAGUUGGGCACUCUAAGUUGACUGCCGGUGACAAACCGGAGGAAGGUGGGGAUGACGUCAAAUCAUCAUGCCCCUUAUGAUUUGGGCUACACACGUGCUACAAUGGACAAUACAAAGGGCAGCGAAACCGCGAGGUCAAGCAAAUCCCAUAAAGUUGUUCUCAGUUCGGAUUGUAGUCUGCAACUCGACUACAUGAAGCUGGAAUCGCUAGUAAUCGUAGAUCAGCAUGCUACGGUGAAUACGUUCCCGGGUCU
Molecule: ribosomal RNA, 1372 nt
Filed under: uncultured bacterium
Lineage: Bacteria
Description: bacterial SSU rRNA
Rfam family: Bacterial small subunit ribosomal RNA
Source: RNAcentral